This 133-nucleotide ribosomal RNA is filed under the name uncultured bacterium. Its description in RNAcentral is "partial 16S ribosomal RNA". The record is from RNAcentral.
AGUUAACGUCAAGGUUCAAGGGUAUUAACCUUAAACUUUUCCUCACUGCUGAAAGUGCUUUACAACCCUCAGGCCUUCUUCACACACGCGGCAUUGCUGGAUCAGGCUUUCGCCCAUUGUCCAAUAUUCCCCA